Molecule: ribosomal RNA, 589 nt
Filed under: uncultured bacterium
Lineage: Bacteria
Description: bacterial SSU rRNA
Rfam family: Bacterial small subunit ribosomal RNA
Source: RNAcentral
CCUACGGGAGGCAGCAGUGGGGAAUUUUGGACAAUGGGCGCAAGCCUGAUCCAGCAAUGCCGCGUGAGUGAAGAAGGCCUUCGGGUUGUAAAGCUCUUUUGUCAGGGAAGAAACGGUCUACUCUAAUACAGUGGGCUAAUGACGGUACCUGAAGAAUAAGCACCGGCUAACUACGUGCCAGCAGCCGCGGUAAUACGUAGGGUGCAAGCGUUAAUCGGAAUUACUGGGCGUAAAGCGUGCGCAGGCGGUUAUAUAAGUCAGAUGUGAAAUCCCCGGGCUCAACCUGGGAACUGCAUUUGAGACUGUAUGGCUAGAGUGUGUCAGAGGGGGGUAGAAUUCCACGUGUAGCAGUGAAAUGCGUAGAUAUGUGGAGGAAUACCGAUGGCGAAGGCAGCCCCCUGGGAUAACACUGACGCUCAUGCACGAAAGCGUGGGGAGCAAACAGGAUUAGAUACCCUGGUAGUCCACGCCCUAAGCGACGUCUACUAGUUGUCGGGACUUAAUUGUCUUGGUAACGCAGCUAACGCGUGAAGUAGACCGCCUGGGGAAGUACGGUCGCAAAGAUUAAAACUUCAAAUUGAAUUGACGG